RNAcentral lists this ribosomal RNA (254 nucleotides) under uncultured bacterium. RNAcentral's name for it is "partial 16S ribosomal RNA". It matches the Rfam family "Bacterial small subunit ribosomal RNA", at positions 524 to 777 of the family's 1533-position model. The record is from RNAcentral.
UACGAAGGGUGCAAGCGUUACUCGGAAUCACUGGGCGUAAAGCGUGCGUAGGCGGUUCGUUAAGUCUGCUGUGAAAGCCCUGGGCUCAACCUGGGAACUGCAGUGGAUACUGGCGGACUAGAGUGUGGUAGAGGAUGGUGGAAUUCCCGGUGUAGCGGUGAAAUGCGUAGAGAUCGGGAGGAACACCAGUGGCGAAGGCGGCCAUCUGGAUCAACACUGACGCUGAGGCACGAAAGCGUGGGGAGCAAACAGGG